CUCAGAGCCCGAAAACUGAUCCUCUGUGUUUGGAGUUGAACUGCCUCGGAGUCGACUCGCACUUUGUUGGAGUCGACUCGGCUCUCAGAAUCCGAAAACUGAUCCUCUAUGUUUUGGCUUGAACUGCCUUCUAGUCUUGCUUUCUUCUGAGAGUCGACUCGUACUUAACUAGGAGUCGACUCGCCAAACUUCGGAGUCGACUCGUAACCUUCUGGAGUCGACUCGGCUGCAGGGUCUGAAAUACAUUGUUCUGUCUUUCUUCUGUUACCCUUUGGAGUCGACUCGGAAACGUCGGGAGUCGACUCGGCAACCAUCGGAGUCGACUCGAACCCUUCUGGAGUCG
This 343-nucleotide long non-coding RNA is filed under the name Phoenix dactylifera (date palm). RNAcentral describes it as "long non-coding RNA (PDAC_LNC012429)". Lineage: Eukaryota; Viridiplantae; Streptophyta; Magnoliopsida; Arecales; Arecaceae. The record is from RNAcentral.